Molecule: ribosomal RNA, 226 nt
Filed under: uncultured bacterium
Lineage: Bacteria
Description: partial 16S ribosomal RNA
Rfam family: Bacterial small subunit ribosomal RNA
Source: RNAcentral
GCGUUGUCCGGAAUUAUUGGGCGUAAAGAGCUCGUAGGCGGUGUGUCACGUCGGUCGUGAAAACUUGCAGCUUAACUGCGAGCUUGCGGUCGAUACGGGCAUCACUGGAGUUCGGCAGGGGAGACUGGAAUUCCUGGUGUAGCGGUGAAAUGCGCAGAUAUCAGGAGGAACACCGGUGGCGAAGGCGGGUCUCUGGGCCGAUACUGACGCUGAGGAGCGAAAGCGU